UUCUUUUCAUCGAUUUUCUAUCUUAAAAUUGUGACGCUUAAGCUAGUAAAACCAAUUCCCAAAAAACACCAUUUUUUCUUUCACGCAAUCACAACCGUUGAUAAUAAACCGUCCAUUCUUUUUAGGAAUCUCUACUAGCCAUUUGUCCACCUCAACUAAGAUCCGCUCUUGCACCUAAGGAUGUCAAUGUCCUAAUGAAAUUUCGAGGCAAUUAGCUAGUUGACUAAAUAUUAAAAACAAUCCAAAAAUUAUUUGGUGUGAAUGAGAAUACGAAAAUUAAUAAUAAUAAUAAUAAUAAAAAAAGGUGUCACAGUCACAAUAAAUCACGUAUACACGUUAUUCAUCUGUAUCUUCUUGAUUAAGAACUAAUCCAAUCGCCAAAAACCUCAUCUCAUCCUUUCUUGCUCUCUCCUCAAUCCCUGUUGAUCGAGCUGUAAACAAUGGGGAAAUGCGCGAUGUUCUGCGAAAUCCUUCUCGCAAUCUUACUCCCUCCUCUCGGCGUCUUCUUCCGCCAUGGCUGUUGCAGCUGUGAAUUCUGGUUAUGCGUGCUGUUGACGAUCUUAGGGUAUGUUCCUGGAAUGAUCUAUGCUAUUUACGCAAUCGUUGUUGUUGAUCGCGAUCGAUGGUACAAUGAUGGGGGAUAUUAUAUUCGAGUUGCUUAAUUUUUAUUGUAAAAUGUAAAUUACUUACACGAACUAUUUUCUGAUGUCUUGUGGAUCUGAUUUAUAUUUAUAUUUUUAAUUGGAUUGUUGUA
Molecule: long non-coding RNA, 754 nt
Organism: Spinacia oleracea (spinach)
Lineage: Eukaryota; Viridiplantae; Streptophyta; Magnoliopsida; Caryophyllales; Amaranthaceae
Exons: 2
Source: RefSeq, a predicted model, not a curated record